UAAAAGUGGAUUUCAGCCCUACAGGAUGCAUGUUAGGAGCUGGACUGGAUUGGCAGAGAUUUACAGGCAGUAAAUUAAUUACUUGGGCAGUACAAAUAAGGAAUGGAGAAGAAGCUGAAUGAUGGAUUGAAGACCUUUCAGAGGUCUACAGCCUUGUAUCUACUUUGCCUUGGUUGGGUGUUCUGGGAACCUCCUACCAAGAUUUCCUGUUGCCUCCAUUUUAGAGCAUUUUCUCCAAUGGCUGGAAGUUAGUAGGACCCAGCAGAUGCUGCUGCCUGAGUUCAGUCAGCAGAGUAACACUGUGAUUCCUUCCAGCUUCUUUGCUUGUACAUCAAGAGGAAGGAGGAUGCUAACUUUAUAACUUCUCCCCGUUGUGCCCCAGAGGUUAGGCACCUUGCCAUAUACAGAUGUUAUCAAAAGUGGAAUAAUUUUAUAAAUGAACUGUGAAAUAACAACAGUCUACAUAAAUGUAUGCUUUGGUUCAAG
Molecule: long non-coding RNA, 486 nt
Filed under: Chloebia gouldiae (Gouldian finch)
Lineage: Eukaryota; Metazoa; Chordata; Aves; Passeriformes; Passeridae
Description: Erythrura gouldiae (Gouldian finch) lncRNA (ENSEGOG00005002805.1)
Source: RNAcentral